Molecule: ribosomal RNA, 398 nt
Filed under: uncultured bacterium
Lineage: Bacteria
Description: bacterial SSU rRNA
Rfam family: Bacterial small subunit ribosomal RNA
Source: RNAcentral
GGUACCGGCUAAUUACGUGCCAGCAGCCGCGGUAAUACGUAAGGACCGAGCGUUGUCCGGAAUUAUUGGGCGUAAAGGGUACGUAGGCGGCUUCUUAAGUUUGACGUGAAAUUCCGGGGCUUAACUCCGGCAAGCGUUGAAAACUGGGGAGCUUGAGUGAUGGAAGGGACAGUGGAAUUCCUGGUGUAGUGGUGAAAUGCGCAGAGAUCAGGAAGAAUACCGGUGGCGAAGGCGACUGUCUGGACAUUAACUGACGCUGAGGUACGAAAGCGUGGGGAGCAAACAGGAUCAGAUACCCUGGUAGUCCACGCUGUAAACGAUGAGUGCAAGGUGUUGGGUGUCAAAACUCAGUGCCGCCGUUAACACAGUAAGCACUCCGCCUGGGGAGUACGUACGCA